This 404-nucleotide ribosomal RNA is filed under the name uncultured bacterium. Its description in RNAcentral is "bacterial SSU rRNA". It matches the Rfam family "Bacterial small subunit ribosomal RNA", at positions 355 to 775 of the family's 1533-position model. The record is from RNAcentral.
UAGGGAAUAUUGGUUAAUGUGCGAAAGCGCGAACCAGCAACGCCGCGUGUGCGAUGAAGGCCUUCGGGUCGUAAAGCACUUUUUGCAGGGAAGAGGAAGGACGGUACCUGCAGAAUAAGUCUCGGCUAACUACGUGCCAGCAGCCGCGGUAAAACGUAGGAGACGAGCGUUAUCCGGAUUUACUGGGCGUAAAGCGCGUGCAGGCGGCAUGGCAAGUUGGAUGUGAAAGCUCCCGGCUUAACUGGGAGAGGUCGUUCAAUACUGCCAGGCUUGAGAGUAGUAGAGGGAAGCGGAAUUCCGGGUGUAGUCGUAAAACGCGUAGAUAUCCGGAGGGACACCAGUGGCGAAAGCGGCUUCCUGGCCCAUUUCUGACGCUCAGACGCGAAAGCUAGGGUAGCAAACGG